RNAcentral lists this ribosomal RNA (556 nucleotides) under Hylomyscus pamfi. RNAcentral describes it as "partial 16S ribosomal RNA". It matches the Rfam family "Bacterial large subunit ribosomal RNA", at positions 1816 to 2607 of the family's 2925-position model. Lineage: Eukaryota; Metazoa; Chordata; Mammalia; Rodentia; Muridae. The record is from RNAcentral.
CACCUCUAGCAUUACAAGUAUUAGAGGCAUUGCCUGCCCAGUGACUAUAGUUAAACGGCCGCGGUAUCCUGACCGUGCAAAGGUAGCAUAAUCAUUUGUUCCUUAAUUAGGGACUAGUAUGAAUGGCUAGACGAGGGAUCAACUGUCUCUUAUUUUUAAUCAGUGAAAUUGACCUUCCAGUGAAGAGGCUGGAAUACAAUAAUAAGACGAGAAGACCCUAUGGAGCUUAAAUUAACAAGCUUAAUUAUUACUUAAAUACCCUAAUGGAACAAAACAAAAAAACAUAAGCUUAAAAUUUUGGUUGGGGUGACCUCGGAGAACAAAAAAUCCUCCGAAAGAUAUAUAACAUAGACCUACAAGUCAAAGUAACUCAAUUAUCUUAUUGACCCAAAAAUUGAUCAACGGACCAAGUUACCCUAGGGAUAACAGCGCAAUCCUAUUUAAGAGUCCAUAUCGACAAUAGGGUUUACGACCUCGAUGUUGGAUCAGGACAUCCCAAUGGUGCAGAAGCUAUUAAUGGUUCGUUUGUUCAACGAUUAAAGUCCUACGUGAUCUA